AUAGAGUAAAGGGGAGUCGCCGUUUACGGUGGCGUAGCCGGUUAACCCUGGCCUCCUGACCUCCACCCUUGAAUACAUUACCUUUGUUGCUUUGGCGGGCCGCCUCGGCCAGCGGCUUCGGCUGCUGAGUGCCCGCCAGAGGACCACAACUCUUGUUUUUAGUGAUGUCUGAGUACUAUAUAAUAGUUA
RNAcentral lists this unclassified non-coding RNA (189 nucleotides) under uncultured Cadophora. RNAcentral describes it as "sequence contains ITS1". Lineage: Eukaryota; Fungi; Ascomycota; Leotiomycetes; Helotiales. The record is from RNAcentral.